This is a non-coding RNA of Pelodiscus sinensis (Chinese soft-shelled turtle), 880 nucleotides long. The record is from RefSeq and is a predicted model, not a curated record. NCBI's taxonomy places the organism in Eukaryota, Metazoa, Chordata, Testudines, Trionychidae.
UCAGAAAUAUUUCCAAGAGAUUCCAAUUUAAAAGACAAGUUCAUAAAACAUUUUACAGGGCCAGUCUCCUUCUCAGCUGAGUGUAGCAAGCAUUUCCAUCGACUCUAUCACAACACAAGGGAUUGUUCAACACCAGCUUAUUACAAAAGGUGUGCAAGAUUACUAACAAGGUUGGCAAUGAGCCCUUUGUGUACACAACCAUAAAAAGUUUGCUGUACCUUUCUACUUUGAGAGAACUCUGAUUUGCCAAGAAAGUGCCUUGAAAUCUUCCUCAAGAUAAUAGAGAAGAUAUCUUUUAUCUUUUUGAUUUGCAGCAUUGUUUUGUUACUAGAUGCAUUUUAUUUUCAUAUGUUGGACAUUCCAUAUUUGUGUGAAGGAAACAUUAUUUUAUUUUAAUUUGUAAAUUUGUUGCCAAUAGCUCAAAUAAGCCAAUUAUUUAAAUUUGUUGUAUAUAAAGAAUAAUAAUAUACAAAUUAAAUAUUAUCAUAUGCAGAGAGGUUGAUUAGUUUUUGCUGUUGAUUAUCUUGUUCCAAUGUAUUUACACCAUUUUGCUCAGGCUCUUACUUUCAUUAUUUGCACUAACUUGAAAUGCAAGUCUAUGUAACUGAAAUCUGAAUAAGCUGUAAGUGGGAAGUUCUACUUUCAAUGGAAGAUACUGUAUAUUAUGAAGCUUUGUUAAUAUAUAUAUAUAUAUUAUUGCGCAUAAGAAAAUAAUGCCCAGAAAUGCACCUUGCUUUCAGGAACAUUUGUAUAGCUAUUCUGGAUUAUCAUCAGUUACAUUUGUACUGGCACUUAUGGAAAGAGUUGCAAAUAAUGUAAAUACUAUAAACGACUGGAAGACUGCAAUGCAGUUUUGGUGGAAUAAAGAAUAUAAAAAUAA